Molecule: ribosomal RNA, 254 nt
Filed under: uncultured bacterium
Lineage: Bacteria
Description: partial small subunit ribosomal RNA
Rfam family: Bacterial small subunit ribosomal RNA
Source: RNAcentral
AGGACGAACGCUGGCGGCGUGCUUAACACAUGCAAGUCGAGCGGAAAGGCCCUUCGGGGUACUCGAGCGGCGAACGGGUGAGUAACACGUGAGCAAUCUGCCCUUAGCUUCGGGAUAGCUCCGGGAAACCGGAAUUAAUACCGAAUAUGAUCGCAGCCGACAUCGGCUGCGAUGGAAAGUUUUUCGGCUAGGGAUGAGCUCGCGGCCUAUCAGCUAGUUGGUGGGGUAAUGGCCUACCAAGGCGACGACGGGUA